AUGAACGCUAGCGGCAGGCUUAACACAUGCAAGUCGAGGGGCAGCACGUCUUCGGAUGGUGGCGACCGGCGCACGGGUGCGUAACGCGUAUACAAUCUACCUUUUACAGAGAGAUACCCCAGAGAAAUUUGGAAUAAUACCUCAUAAUAUUAUUGCUCGGCAUCGAGUGACAAUUAAAGUUUCGGCGGUAAAAGAUGAGUAUGCGUCCUAUUAGCUAGUUGGUAAGGUAACGGCUUACCAAGGCGACGAUAGGUAGGGGUCCUGAGAGGGAGAUCCCCCACACUGGUACUGAGACACGGUCCAGACUCCUACGGGAGGCAGCAGUGAGGAAUAUUGCACAAUGGGGGAAACCCUGAUGCAGCAACGCCGCGUGGAGGAUGACG
This 383-nucleotide ribosomal RNA is filed under the name uncultured bacterium. RNAcentral's name for it is "bacterial SSU rRNA". It matches the Rfam family "Bacterial small subunit ribosomal RNA", at positions 29 to 413 of the family's 1533-position model. The record is from RNAcentral.